GCCGUAAGGCGAAGUAUAGGGGCUGACACCUGCCCGGUGCUGGAAGGUUAAGAGGAAGGGUCAUCCCUUACGGGAGAAGCUCUGAAUUGAAGCCCCAGUAAACGGCGGCCGUAACUAUAACGGUCCUAAGGUAGCGAAAUUCCUUGUCGGGUAAGUUCCGACCCGCACGAAUGGUGCAACGACUUGGAUACUGUCUCAACGAGAGACCCGGUGAAAUUAUAGUACCUGUGAAGAUGCAGGUUACCCGCGACAGGACGGAAAGACCCCAUGGAGCUUUACUGUAGCUUGAUAGUGAGUGUUGGUAUCAUCUGUACAGGAUAGGUAGGAGCCUUGGAAACCGGAGCGCUAGCUUCGGUGGAGGCGUCGGUGGGAUACUACCCUGAUGGUGCUGGCAUUCUAACCUCGACCCGUGAUCCGGGCCAGGGACAUUGUCAGGUGGGCAGUUUGACUGGGGCGGUCGCCUCCUAAACAGUAACGGAGGCGCC
Molecule: ribosomal RNA, 485 nt
Filed under: Shouchella clausii
Lineage: Bacteria; Bacillati; Bacillota; Bacilli; Caryophanales; Bacillaceae
Description: bacterial LSU rRNA
Rfam family: Bacterial large subunit ribosomal RNA
Source: RNAcentral